UGGGCUGUCAGUGAACAUUUGCUGGAUGGA
RNAcentral lists this non-coding RNA (30 nucleotides) under Homo sapiens (human). The record is from RNAcentral. Lineage: Eukaryota; Metazoa; Chordata; Mammalia; Primates; Hominidae.